This 698-nucleotide ribosomal RNA is filed under the name uncultured bacterium. RNAcentral describes it as "bacterial SSU rRNA". It matches the Rfam family "Bacterial small subunit ribosomal RNA", at positions 94 to 796 of the family's 1533-position model. The record is from RNAcentral.
AGCGGCGGACGGGUGAGUAAUGCGUAGGAAUCUACCCUUUUGUGGGGGAUAGCCCGGAGAAAUCCGGAUUAAUACCGCAUAAGCUCUUCGGAGGAAAGUGGGGGAUCUUCGGACCUCACGCUGAAGGAUGAGCCUACGUUGGAUUAGCUUGUUGGUGGGGUAAAGGCCUACCAAGGCGACGAUCCAUAGCUGGUCUGAGAGGAUGAUCAGCCACACCGGGACUGAGACACGGCCCGGACUCCUACGGGAGGCAGCAGUGGGGAAUAUUGGACAAUGGGCGCAAGCCUGAUCCAGCCAUGCCGCGUGUGUGAAGAAGGCUCUAGGGUUGUAAAGCACUUUAAGCAGGGAAGAAACGCUGUUGGUUAAUAACCAUCAGUACUGACGGUACCUGCAGAAUAAGCACCGGCUAACUCCGUGCCAGCAGCCGCGGUAAUACGGAGGGUGCAAGCGUUAAUCGGAUUUACUGGGCGUAAAGCGUGCGUAGGCGGCUACGUAAGUCAGUUGUGAAAGCCCCGGGCUUAACCUGGGAACUGCAAUUGAUACUGCGUGGCUAGAAUUCGGUAGAGGAAGGUGGAACUCCACGUGUAGCGGUGAAAUGCGUAGAUAUCUGGAGACAUCAAUGGCGACGCAUCCUUCUGGGCUGAGUGACGCUGAGUACGAAGCGUGGGAGCCAACCAGAAUAGAUACCUGGGAAGUUC